CCUACGGGGGGCUGCAGUGGGGAAUAUUGGACAAUGGGGGCAACCCUGAUCCAGCCAUGCCGCGUGUGUGAAGAAGGCCCUCGGGUUGUAAAGCACUUUCAGUGAGGAAGAACGCCUGGUGGUUAAUACCCAUCAGGAAAGACAUCACUCACAGAAGAAGCACCGGCUAACUCCGUGCCAGCAUCCGCGGUAAUACGGAGGGUGCGAGCGUUAAUCGGAAUUACUGGGCGUAAAGCGCGCGUAGGUGGCUUGAUAAGCCGGUUGUGAAAGCCCCGGGCUCAACCUGGGAACGGCAUCCGGAACUGUCAAGCUAGAGUGCAGGAGAGGAAGGUAGAAUUCCCGGUGUAGCGGUGAAAUGCGUAGAGAUCGGGAGGAAUACCAGUGGCGAAGGCGGCCUUCUGGACUGACACUGACACUGAGGUGCGAAAGCGUGGGUAGCAAACAGGAUUAGAUACCCUUGUAGUC
This 465-nucleotide ribosomal RNA is filed under the name Vreelandella stevensii. RNAcentral describes it as "partial 16S ribosomal RNA". It matches the Rfam family "Bacterial small subunit ribosomal RNA", at positions 338 to 795 of the family's 1533-position model. Lineage: Bacteria; Pseudomonadati; Pseudomonadota; Gammaproteobacteria; Oceanospirillales; Halomonadaceae. The record is from RNAcentral.